UCUGGAGCCCAGAGUAGGACUUGGGUCAUCCCUAUUCAAUGGCUACAGCUACCAGGUUCCCUUCAAAGCCCUUGGGAUUUGAACUUUUCAGUGCAGCAUCUUUGCAGGGAUGUCACUACAGUGCCCUUCAUGACCUGCUUCAGAAGCCCUUUGUAGGAGAUGGGAAUCCAAGCAUGAGGAAAGGACUACUUUUCCCUAAAUAUCUGCACAGGCUCUAAUUGCUGGUGCUCCUGAUUUUAACGGAGAACUCCAGGCAUUACACCAACACAGAUACAAUAAAGUGUAACUCAUUAGGUAGAAAAGAUAAAGUGGCACUUAAGAGAGCCACUGACAGAUGACAGUGUGGAUCAGAAGCCAGGGGCAGAGGGAAGGUUGGGCGCUUGCCCCUUCUGCUGCAAAACCUCCUCCCGAUGCCUCGAGAAUAAAAGCCUCGUGGCAUAAUGG
This is a long non-coding RNA of Nothoprocta perdicaria, 444 nucleotides long. RefSeq lists it as uncharacterized. NCBI's taxonomy places the organism in Eukaryota, Metazoa, Chordata, Aves, Tinamiformes, Tinamidae. The record is from RefSeq and is a predicted model, not a curated record. The transcript is spliced from 2 exons.